This 333-nucleotide ribosomal RNA is filed under the name Triticum aestivum (bread wheat). RNAcentral describes it as "partial small subunit ribosomal RNA". Lineage: Eukaryota; Viridiplantae; Streptophyta; Magnoliopsida; Poales; Poaceae. The record is from RNAcentral.
AUGGCGGCUAAGUCCAAAUGGCCUGACGGAAGGAAAAAAGACAAGGAUACAAAGACCGACGACAAUGAUAUCAAAGAAUCACUUGAAGCAAUCAUGAAUGCAAGGAAGAUGUAUGCCGGGGAGAAGAAACUUUUGAAGAUAAAAGAGAUGGAGGAGAAGGCAGUGGUUGAACUCUGGAAGGCGGCGGCCAAGGAGAAAAGGGCGGCGACUAAGAAGAUGUUGGCAGCGGCUAAGGGGAAGAAGGUGGAGGAUGAGCACCAUAGGGUGCAACUAGAGGAGAGGAAGGCGGCGGCCGAGGAGGGUGUAUUACCUCACCAUGAGGGCCCGGACUAA